GAUAAAUGUUUUAUUUUGUCGUGUUUGGUAUGCAGCAUCAUUUUGAUUUUUAUUAGAUUAGUCUUUUCUUUUGACUUCUUUUCUUGCAGGCUCUUUCUGAAGGCAACAUUAUAAGGCUUCAAAAAUAGCACAGUGAGCCAAGAGAAACUGCAAAGACACCGCUGUGGGAUGGUGAUUUGGAUAUAAAAUUCUCUGAGCCAGGGUAUGAUAAGCUGUUGGACCAUCUUAGACAACCAUCUAGACCCUGGAGCCAUUGUAGUUUGGAUUCCCAUGACCUCAGGUGCAUCACUGAUGAAAGAAACAAGGAGAUUCCUGAGGGGACCAGACAGAACAAAGGAUGUUUCAGAGCUACCUUUAUGUAUUAAAUACCAAGAACAAGAUGGGAUGACUUACACCUUAGAGAGACUCUUGUGGUCAUGUGACAUCGAAAAUUGGCUAGAUCUGGCAGUUAAAUGAGUUUGAUUGAAAAAAAUUAGAUAGAACUCUUUUUUCCCCUCACUACAUCAGCUGCCAAAGGCUGGGUGCUCUAAACACUCC
RNAcentral lists this long non-coding RNA (537 nucleotides) under Papio anubis (olive baboon). RNAcentral describes it as "lncRNA (ENSPANG00000036567.2)". Lineage: Eukaryota; Metazoa; Chordata; Mammalia; Primates; Cercopithecidae. The record is from RNAcentral.